Molecule: ribosomal RNA, 775 nt
Filed under: uncultured Neocallimastigales
Lineage: Eukaryota; Fungi; Neocallimastigomycota; Neocallimastigomycetes; Neocallimastigales
Description: partial large subunit ribosomal RNA
Rfam family: Eukaryotic large subunit ribosomal RNA
Source: RNAcentral
AGAGAGAGACAUGCGCGCAUAUCAAUAAGCGGAGGAAAAGAAACUAACAAGGAUUCCCUUAGUAACGGCGAGUGAAGCGGGAAGAGCUCAAAUUUGAAAUCUUCAAGGUUCUACCAUUGACGAAUUGUAGUUUAAAGAAGUGUUUUCUGCUGAAGUUUUGGUAAAAGUUCUUUGGAAUAGGACAUCAUAGAGGGUGAGAAUCCCGUAUUUGACCAUUAUUUUCAGCUUUGUGAUACACUUUCAAAGAGUCGGAUUGUUUGGGAAUGCAGUCCAAAAUGGGUGGUAAAUUUCAUCUAAAGCUAAAUAUUCGGCGAGAGACCGAUAGCGAACAAGUACCGUGAGGGAAAGAUGAAAAGAACUUUAAAAGAGAGUUAAACAGUACGUGAAAUUGUCAAAAGGGAAGCGUUUGACACCAGUGUUGUUUUCUCGAAAAUCAAUUAAAAAUGGCUCGAUUUUGUAUUGUUGAGACCUUAAAAGCUCACUGUACAUUUUUCGUGUCUUUUUUAAUGCACUUUUCGUUUAACAAGUCAACAUCAGUUUCUUUUGUUGUAAAAGGGUCAUUGGAAGGUGGCUUUCUUUUCGGAGAAAGUGUUUAUAGCCUUUGGCCUCUGCAAUCGGAGAGACUGAGGUCUGCAGCGUAGACUCUUCGGGGUUAGAUACAUUUGUGCUAAGUUAUAGCUUUUUAUAGACAACUUGUUGACUAUAAUUAGUCUUGUAGCUUACUCGCUUAUGCUAUUUUACCUACGCUUAGGAUGUUGAAGUCAUCGUAUCGCGC